Molecule: non-coding RNA, 28 nt
Filed under: Bombyx mori (domestic silkworm)
Lineage: Eukaryota; Metazoa; Arthropoda; Insecta; Lepidoptera; Bombycidae
Also listed under: 5 other names
Source: RNAcentral
CCGAAGUUUCCCUCAGGAUAGCUGGCGU